This 454-nucleotide ribosomal RNA is filed under the name Streptococcus mitis. Its description in RNAcentral is "bacterial SSU rRNA". It matches the Rfam family "Bacterial small subunit ribosomal RNA", at positions 28 to 468 of the family's 1533-position model. The record is from RNAcentral. Lineage: Bacteria; Bacillati; Bacillota; Bacilli; Lactobacillales; Streptococcaceae.
GACGAACGCUGGCGGCGUGCCUAAUACAUGCAAGUAGAACGCUGAAGGAGGAGCUUGCUUCUCUGGAUGAGUUGCGAACGGGUGAGUAACGCGUAGGUAACCUGCCUGGUAGCGGGGGAUAACUAUUGGAAACGAUAGCUAAUACCGCAUAAUAGUAGAUGUUGCAUGACAUUUGCUUAAAAGGUGCAAUUGCAUCACUACCAGAUGGACCUGCGUUGUAUUAGCUAGUUGGUGAGGUAACGGCUCACCAAGGCAACGAUACAUAGCCGACCUGAGAGGGUGAUCGGCCACACUGGGACUGAGACACAGCCCAGACUCCUACGGGAGGCAGCAGUAGGGAAUCUUCGGCAAUGGGGGGAACCCUGACCGAGCAACGCCGCGUGAGUGAAGAAGGUUUUCGGAUCGUAAAGCUCUGUUGUAAGAGAAGAACGAGUGUGAGAGUGGAAAGUUCACA